AGCAGUAGCCGCGGGAAUACGUAGGUGGCAAGCGUUGUCCGGAAUUAUGGGCGUAAAGCGCGCGCAGGUGGUUUAAUAAGUCUGAUGUGAAAGCCCACGGCUCAACCGUGGAGGGUCAUUGGAAACUGUUAAACUUGAGUGCAGGAGAGAAAAGUGGAAUUCCUAGUGUAGCGGUGAAAUGCGUAGAGAUGUGGAGGAACACCAGUGGCGAAGGCGGCUUUUUGGCCUGUAACUGACACUGAGGCGCGAAAGCGUGGGGAGCAAACAGGAUUAGAUACCCCUGUAGUCCCUGUCUCUUAUACA
RNAcentral lists this ribosomal RNA (303 nucleotides) under uncultured bacterium. RNAcentral describes it as "partial 16S ribosomal RNA". It matches the Rfam family "Bacterial small subunit ribosomal RNA", at positions 507 to 808 of the family's 1533-position model. The record is from RNAcentral.